UGAAGGAUGCAAGCGUUAUCCGGAUUCAUUGGGUUUAAAGGGUGCGUAGGUGGACUGAUAAGUCAGUGGUGAAAUCUUCGAGCUUAACUCGGAAAUUGCCAUUGAUACUGUUGGUCUUGAGUACAGUUGCUGUGGGCGGAAUAUGACAUGUAGUGGUGAAAUACAUAGAGAUGUCAUAGAACACCGAUUGCGAAGGCAGCUCACAAAGCUGUAACUGACACUGAGGCUCGAAAGUGCGGGGAUCAAACAGGAUUAGAUACCCUGGUAGUCCGCACCGUAAACGAUGAUUACUCGCUGCUAGAUGGCAACAUUUAGUGGCUUAGCGAAAGCGAUAAGUAAUCCACCUGGGAGUACGCCGGCAACGGUG
Molecule: ribosomal RNA, 367 nt
Filed under: uncultured organism
Description: bacterial SSU rRNA
Rfam family: Bacterial small subunit ribosomal RNA
Source: RNAcentral